AUCAUUUUGUACUUCUGAAGCAUGAUGACGGUUUUCACACUGGUGUGGGACACGCCUCCGUCAAACCUGGUUACACGGGCACAUUACCAUCUGAUG
Callithrix jacchus (white-tufted-ear marmoset) is the source of this 96-nucleotide small nucleolar RNA. NCBI's taxonomy places the organism in Eukaryota, Metazoa, Chordata, Mammalia, Primates, Cebidae. The record is from Ensembl.